This 1419-nucleotide long non-coding RNA is filed under the name Anas platyrhynchos platyrhynchos (common mallard). RNAcentral's name for it is "lncRNA (ENSAPLG00000016946.1)". Lineage: Eukaryota; Metazoa; Chordata; Aves; Anseriformes; Anatidae. The record is from RNAcentral.
AUAUCUUGCAUACAAACCCUUGUGCUUCUUAGUCUGUCUUUUUCCAAUUUGUUUUCACCCUUCAAUUGCAUCAUUCUAAGAGUGUAAAUGUAGUACAGCAGCUGGAUUCCCGUAUUUUGUUUGUUUGUUUUUCAUUUUUCUCUUUCAUAAUGACAGUACUACUAUGCCGAUGUCCAUAAGUCUUCCUUUAUGCUAGAAAUAAAAGGUGUAAAUGAAAAUAAAUCUGGACCUAGUAUGGGGCAAGAGGUAUAAGAAAAUCUUCAAGAGAUUUGAAGAAAGGUCUUGCUGUUAGGAAUAGCUGAGGAUGAAAGAGAGAUGAGGGCAAUGGAAACAAACACAGAUUUGAGAAGGGGAUGUGAUUGUAUCCAGAAUAGUUAAGUCUUCUAGUAAAUAUUCAUAUGAUUUUUUAAUGUAUUUUUGUGUUUUCCAUCUCUACCUGGUAGUGAUUUUGCUAGGUGGAGAGUUGACAGAGUCAUGGAGAGGAAUGUACUUAAAACUCCGACGUACACAGACAUUAUGGAAAAGAGAACUUCCACAUUGAGACAUCAUUUGGUGCCACAGGAUAAUUUGUAAGCUAUGAGCCACCAAAGAAAAGCACUGUUUCCUUGAUUUCAAAUACCAGUAUUUGCUGCUGAGAUUGAAUGCCUCCCACAAUCUCUUGUCCUUAAAAUAUGGAUGGUGUGCAUCAAAUAGCUUUUUUUAAGGAAAAAUGUAGAAUGCUGAAAAACAGGUGCCAUAACAACAGCCUGCUGGAGAGGUUUUUCUUUUCAAAUGAAUAUCCUUCUUAUCAAGAAGAAAAAUGAAUUUUCUACACAGAUGCAAAAUUAACUCUUAUUAAUCAACACCAUAUAAGAUAUUACAUCUGCUGGUAUUUGGCUUUCAUUACUGCUUUCAUGAAUUUAGACCUUGAUCAAAUUAAAUUUCACUAUCAAAUCACGAAGAACAAAAUAUUAGGUGAGCUCACAGCAACAGCUAACUCAGUUUUGUGACAUGCUGGAAUAGCUUCUAAAGGAGUAAACAGGAGUAAGAGAGAUUAGUUAGAGUUUGGGAAUUAAUGAGUGGUAGGCUAGAAGGCAAUCAACUGACUCCCAGGGAAGAAUAUGCCCUACAAACUUAGUAGUAUUUUAGGUAUUUCUAAGAAACAUUGCCUGUUGCCAGUGUAAUUUCUCCAUGAGUUUAGGAUCUGCUCCAGUGAAGCAUCAUUCCAUUUCAGUAGCACAUAGUGAUGUUCACCAAGCAUUAAUCAGACACCUCUGGCAAAGUGAUUCCAUUUUCCUGAGUGACUGGGAGGGAUAAAAAUGUCCAUUCUACUCCUGAAACACUUUUGCUGCAAUGCCAUUGUCCUUAUCUUCGGAUCCGUAUGUGCUUGUGGAUCACACAUUAAAUAAAUCAAGUAGGUGUCUGCCUUAUGGAGAAGAC